UGCAGAAUCCCGUGAACCAUCGAGUCUUUGAACGCAAGUUGCGCCCGAAGCCGUUAGGCCGAGGGCACGCCUGCCUGGGCGUCACACGUCGUUGCCCCGCCCCGACACGUCCUCUCGUAAAAGGGAGGCGGGUCUGGACGGGACGGAUGAUGGCCUCCCGUGUGCCCCGUCACGCGGCCGGUAUAAAAACAGAGUCCUCGGCGGCCAACGCCUCGACGAUCGGUGGUUGUCCAGACCUCGGUUUCCCGUCGUGCGCGGGCGUCGUCCGUGGGGCUUUCCCGAUGCGCGUCGGUUCCGACGCUCCCAACGCGACCCCAGGUCAGGCGGGGUCACCCGCUGAAUUUAAGCAUAUCAAUAAGCGGAGGAAAAGAAACUUACGAGGAUUCCCUUAGUAACGGCGAGCGAACCGGGAACAGCCCAGCUGAGA
RNAcentral lists this ribosomal RNA (427 nucleotides) under Agrimonia eupatoria. RNAcentral describes it as "eukaryotic LSU rRNA". The stretch from base 310 to 427 matches the Rfam family "Eukaryotic large subunit ribosomal RNA", at positions 1 to 118 of the family's 3401-position model. Lineage: Eukaryota; Viridiplantae; Streptophyta; Magnoliopsida; Rosales; Rosaceae. The record is from RNAcentral.